This 251-nucleotide ribosomal RNA is filed under the name uncultured bacterium. Its description in RNAcentral is "partial 16S ribosomal RNA". It matches the Rfam family "Bacterial small subunit ribosomal RNA", at positions 525 to 775 of the family's 1533-position model. The record is from RNAcentral.
ACGUAGGUGGCAAGCGUUGUCCGGAAUUACUGGGUGUAAAGGGAGCGCAGGCGGGAAGCCAAGUCAGCUGUGAAAACUACAGGCUUAACUUGUAGACUGCAGUUGAAACUGGUUUUCUUGAGUGAAGUAGAGGUUGGCGGAAUUCCGAGUGUAGCGGUGAAAUGCGUAGAUAUUCGGAGGAACACCGGUGGCGAAGGCGGCCAACUGGGCUUUAACUGACGCUGAGGCUCGAAAGUGUGGGGAGCAAACAG